This 30-nucleotide non-coding RNA is filed under the name Bombyx mori (domestic silkworm). Lineage: Eukaryota; Metazoa; Arthropoda; Insecta; Lepidoptera; Bombycidae. The record is from RNAcentral.
UGAUCGCUGUAUAAGUGGCGCGGUGCUCCC